GCCAUCCAUGUCAUUGCUAUAGCUGUUAUUACUUGUGUUGUUAACUCUUCACCAAAUAAAAGAUGUGUCCAUCCAGGUAGUUGUAAUACGUGAGCCAUUACUUAUCCAUCUAGUGUCUUGAGAUGAUGCUCAGCAAUCAUGACAUUUCUUUGAGUAGUUCAAUUCUCACCCAUAUAACAAGACAUCCAUCCUAUUGUAUAAGUGUAAUCCAAGCUUUACUCAGCCGAUCUAUUACCUUUGAGAUACUGAGAUCAUGAUACUGUAUGAAGUGACCUUAUAACUUGAUAACUCUUACGAUAUCCAUCCAGUUCAUCAUACAACCAUUACUCACCCAGUCUAAUUCUCUUCAGCUGAUCUUCAGCAAUCAUGACACUGUAUUAAGUUGAUUCAACUCUCAACCAUAUCCAAUAUAUCCAUCCAGGGUAGUUGCAUAAUUGUAAAGUGUGAACCUUGCAAACCUUAUCUAUUACCAGAGCUGAUUUUCAACAAUCUCUGACACACUGUAUGAAGUGACCUCAUAAUUUGAUAACUGUUGAGAUAUCCAUUCAGGUAACAAUAUAAUGCUAGCCAUUACGCACCCAGUCUAAUUCUCUUUAGCUGCUUUUCAGGAUCAUGACACUGUAUAAAGUGACUUAACUCUUUCAGCCACCGCAUAAGAUAUCUGUCCAGGUAAUUGUAUAAUUGUAAAUUGACCUCAUGGUUAAAGAAGAUUGGUGAUUGGUGAUGGAUCCAUGGUUAAAGAAGAUUGAG
This 750-nucleotide long non-coding RNA is filed under the name Nicotiana benthamiana. RNAcentral's name for it is "long non-coding RNA (NBEN_LNC009329)". Lineage: Eukaryota; Viridiplantae; Streptophyta; Magnoliopsida; Solanales; Solanaceae. The record is from RNAcentral.